AUGCACGCUGGCGGCGUGCCUAAUACAUGCAAGUCGAGCGAACAGACGAGGAGCUUGCUCCUCUGACGUUAGCGGCGGACGGGUGAGUAACACGUGGAUAACCUACCUAUAAGACUGGGAUAACUUCGGGAAACCGGAGCUAAUACCGGAUAAUAUAUUGAACCGCAUGGUUCAAUAGUGAAAGACGGUUUUGCUGUCACUUAUAGAUGGAUCCGCGCCGCAUUAGCUAGUUGGUAAGGUAACGGCUUACCAAGGCAACGAUGCGUAGCCGACCUGAGAGGGUGAUCGGCCACACUGGAACUGAGGCACGGUCCAGACUCCUACGGGAGGCAGCAGUAGGGAAUCUUCCGCAAAGGGCGAAAGCCUGACGGAGCAACGCCGCGUGAGUGAUGAAGGUCUUCGGAUCGUAAAACUCUGUUAUUAGGGAAGAACAAAUGUGUAAGUAACUAUGCACGUCUUGACGGUACCUAAUCAGAAAGCCACGGCUAACUACGUG
This 496-nucleotide ribosomal RNA is filed under the name uncultured bacterium. RNAcentral's name for it is "partial 16S ribosomal RNA". It matches the Rfam family "Bacterial small subunit ribosomal RNA", at positions 29 to 507 of the family's 1533-position model. The record is from RNAcentral.